ACGACCAUAGGGUGUGGAAAACAGGGCUUCCCGUCCGCUCAGCCGUACUUAAGCCACACGCCGGCCGGUUAGUAGUUGGGUGGGUGACCACCAGCGAAUCCCGGCUGUUGUACGUU
RNAcentral lists this ribosomal RNA (116 nucleotides) under Aspergillus udagawae. The record is from RNAcentral. RNAcentral also lists the same sequence under 1 other name. Lineage: Eukaryota; Fungi; Ascomycota; Eurotiomycetes; Eurotiales; Aspergillaceae.